This 254-nucleotide ribosomal RNA is filed under the name uncultured bacterium. Its description in RNAcentral is "partial 16S ribosomal RNA". It matches the Rfam family "Bacterial small subunit ribosomal RNA", at positions 524 to 776 of the family's 1533-position model. The record is from RNAcentral.
CACGUAGGGGGCAAGCGUUGUCCGGAUUCAUUGGGCGUAAAGAGCUCGUAGGCGGCUCAGUAAGUCGGGUGUGAAACCCUCAGGCUCAACCUGGGGACGCCACUCGAUACUGCUGUGGCUAGAGUCCAGUAGGGGAGUGUGGAAUUCCCGGUGUAGCGGUGAAAUGCGCAGAUAUCGGGAGGAACAUCAGUUGCGAAGGCGGCUCUCUGGACCAGCACUGACACUGAGGCACGAAAGCGUGGGGAGCAAACAGG